This 203-nucleotide ribosomal RNA is filed under the name uncultured Actinocatenispora sp. RNAcentral describes it as "partial 16S ribosomal RNA". It matches the Rfam family "Bacterial small subunit ribosomal RNA", at positions 273 to 488 of the family's 1533-position model. Lineage: Bacteria; Bacillati; Actinomycetota; Actinomycetes; Micromonosporales; Micromonosporaceae. The record is from RNAcentral.
GCGUCGACGGGUAGCCGGCCUGAGAGGGCGACCGGCCACACUGGGAUUGAGACACGGCCCAGACUCAUACGGGAGGCAGCAGUGGGGAAUAUUGCGCAAUGGGCGGAAGCCUGACGCAGCGACGCCGCGUGGGGGAUGACGGCCUUCGGGUUGUAAACCUCUUUCAGCAGGGACGAAGCGGAAGUGACGGUACCUGCAGAAGA